AAGAAAACAGCAGGCUCAAAAAAAUGUGAGAAAUAUAACUAAAUAUAACUAAAUAUCCUAAAUAUAACUAAAGGACUUCGUAAAAGUGCAGUUCUUACCUAAGAGGUAAUUUUAUAUUACAUAAAACUAAUAAAAAUUACUCUGAAAAUAUUUGAAAGGAACAAACUAUCGUAAAAAAUAAAAAAUGACGGAUUAUUACUUUAAUCCGUACCCUAAAAACCCUGAAGGUAGUGAGAAGUGUACCUUUUUUGCUGCGUAAAGGUGGCUAUUAAGUAAUUUAGGCCGUUUUCGAAGCUACAUGAAGUUAAUUCAUUACGAUAUAGUGGAGUUUUCAAAUUUUUAGUUUUUCUCUUCGCUUAGUUAUAAAGCAACUCUGAAAAAUAUAAUAAAAACAAAUUACAUCAUUGUAUCUUUUAUGAUGUCGUUAUAAAAACUUGUCCAGGUAAUCUAAAGUUCCACUGUAUAAUUUGCGUAUACCUGGCUCUACUCCAAGAAAUUCCUUAUUACUAUUUGCUAAUAGUUAGUCCUUCCUUUCAUAUCGUGAAACCCAUUUUGUCAUUUUUGUGACCAUACCAAUUGCUUUAUGGCUUUUCGUAAUAAGCAUGCAGUUUUUUUCAUUUGCGAAAUGUCCCGAUAAAUCUCUUUUUGAUCACUAUUUUUUCCGUUAAGAAAUUGAGAAACCUGUGAGUAUUUUCCAGGUUGAGGGAACCCAGCUUUUAGAUAGAGAAAGUAUAGAGAGAAUGUUACUAGUUUAUAAAAGCUUAUGGAAUAGGAGAGGGGGGGGGCGAUAAUCCUCGCAAGAGCGUAAACAAUACACAAAUCUUAUUACGACAGCAUUAUUUUUUUCGGAGACUUCUUAAAUAAAUAGCAUGUAAACGUUUUUGACCUUUUCUCUUUCUUGAAAGAGAGAGACAUUCAAAUCUUUUUUGUUUGUAACUGUACAGCUUAGCGAUGAGAUACUGAGCGAUUUGUUCGUAAAUGUUUCUGUCCUUAAAUACCUUGUUUACUGUUAUCAUUAUACUUAUUAUUACUAAACUAAUCUUGCUAUCGGUGAAUAUUUCCAUACUUAUAUUUUAUGAAGAUUACUAUUGUAUACAUCGUAAGGAAUAUUGUUGUAAUGAAAUAUAAGUUUGAGGGACUGAUAAAGUUUAUUAGAGGAAGAAGAGCUGGUUUAGCAUUUAGUACUUAUAGAAAAAUAAAAAGAGCAAUAUACACAAUUCACAUAAUAAGCAAGAAUACAUAAAAUAUCCAAAGUAUGAUAUUUGCUAUAAUAUUUAAUGGUAAUGGAAGACAUUUCUGCGUACGUUACGUAGCAUAGCGUAAAGAUAGUUAACGUCCCAGAUAAUUUUAUUUCUGUUUUAAACUGUUUAUUUAUCUGUCGUAAUAUACAAAGAUGUUAACCCUCCUAUAACAAAAGCUUUUCUCCACCUACAAGCUAGUUCCUCAGAUAUUUCCUCAAACUCGGGCCUUGUCGUAAAUAAGACGUAUUGGUAAUGUGUUUACGGCGAACGCUAUUCAUCUGAAACCAUCUCUGAAAGGAGACUAUUUGGUCGACGAAUAAAAUUCCUUGUCAAAGAAUCUGUCCAAAGGCGUGUCUCGUAAUACAGUGAGAACGAAAUGCAAAAGCUUUCAUGGAAAGAAAGGAGUUCUCGCGGGGGAAGGAGGCGUGCCGAAGACCGGAAGCAAGCAAAUCUUGAAAGUCUGUUGGCUAAACUUGGUCGGUGGUCUGGCCGCAAGAUAAAUUGAGAAAUUUUCUCAACCUCUUAAUGCUAUUAUCAAAGAAUCCCAUUUUACCUAAGAGACAAUAGAAUCCAUUAAACAAAGAAACGCCAUGGGAGGCUCAAAUAAAAGUUUAAGUAAGGAUUAACUAAUGAACUUACAUAGUCAGCCAAAACCAGAACCAUUAAUCAACACGAGUCGAAGAAAAGAGUAGGUUCAUCUUCCGGUGACACGCUCUGAGGAUUGCCAUAUGUUGUCCAAUCCUAACGAGC
Long non-coding RNA from Bombus pascuorum, 1991 nucleotides. RefSeq lists it as uncharacterized. NCBI's taxonomy places the organism in Eukaryota, Metazoa, Arthropoda, Insecta, Hymenoptera, Apidae. The record is from RefSeq and is a predicted model, not a curated record. The transcript is spliced from 2 exons.